RNAcentral lists this ribosomal RNA (252 nucleotides) under uncultured bacterium. Its description in RNAcentral is "partial 16S ribosomal RNA". It matches the Rfam family "Bacterial small subunit ribosomal RNA", at positions 524 to 776 of the family's 1533-position model. The record is from RNAcentral.
UACGGAGGAUGCGAGCGUUAUCCGGAUUUAUUGGGUUUAAAGGGUGCGUAGGCGGGCAUUUAAGCCGGCGGUCAAAUGUCGGGGCUCAACCCCGGCCUGCCGUCGGAACUGGGUGCCUUGAGUGGGCGAGAAGUAUGCGGAAUGCGUGGUGUAGCGGUGAAAUGCAUAGAUAUCACGCAGAACCCCGAUUGCGAAGGCAGCAUACCGGCGCCCUACUGACGCUGAGGCACGGAAGUGCGGGUAUCGAACAGG